GACGAACGCUGGCGGCGUGCUUAACACAUGCAAGUCGAACGGAAAGGCCCUGCUUUUGUGGGGUGCUCGAGUGGCGAACGGGUGAGUAACACGUGAGUAACCUGCCCUUGACUUUGGGAUAACUUCAGGAAACUGGGGCUAAUACCGGAUAGGAGCUCCUGCUGCAUGGUGGGGGUUGGAAAGUUUCGGCGGUUGGGGAUGGACUCGCGGCUUAUCAGCUUGUUGGUGGGGUAGUGGCUUACCAAGGCUUUGACGGGUAGCCGGCCUGAGAGGGUGACCGGCGACAAGACUACUGCGGGACGGAGCAGACUCGUACAGUGGGCAGCGGGGGGGAGUAUGGUACAGUGAGCGGGAGUCUGAUGCGGCGGCGUUCGGGUCGUAAAGACGGCCUGCUGGGUGUAAACAGCUUUCGCUUGAGACGCAGCGUGAGUGACGGUAACGAAUGAAGAAGCACCGGCUAACUACGUG
This 468-nucleotide ribosomal RNA is filed under the name uncultured bacterium. RNAcentral describes it as "partial 16S ribosomal RNA". It matches the Rfam family "Bacterial small subunit ribosomal RNA", at positions 28 to 507 of the family's 1533-position model. The record is from RNAcentral.